GCGCACCAGGCGAGAAACCUCCGCAAUGCGCGAAAGCGCGACGGGGCCACCCCGAGUGCCGCCCGCUGAGGGCGGCUUUUCCCCGGUGUAGACAGCCGGGGAAGUAAGGGGAGGGCAAGUCUGGUGUCAGCCGCCGCGGUAAUACCAGCUCCCCGAGUGGUGGGGACGAUUAUUGGGCCUAAAGCGUCCGUAGCCGGCCCGGCAAGUCUCCUGUUAAAUCCAGCGAUCUAAUCGCUGGACUGCGGGAGAUACUGUCGGGCUAGGGGGCGGGAGGGGCCGGCGGUAUUCCCGGGGUAGGGGUGAAAUCCUAUAAUCCCGGGAGGACCACCAGUGGCGAAGGCUGCCGGCUGGAACGCGCCCGACGGUGAGGGACGAAAGCCGGGGGAGCGAACCGGAUUAGAUACCCCGGUAGU
Molecule: ribosomal RNA, 413 nt
Filed under: uncultured microorganism
Description: bacterial SSU rRNA
Rfam family: Archaeal small subunit ribosomal RNA
Source: RNAcentral